RNAcentral lists this ribosomal RNA (434 nucleotides) under uncultured Lachnospiraceae bacterium. RNAcentral's name for it is "partial 16S ribosomal RNA". It matches the Rfam family "Bacterial small subunit ribosomal RNA", at positions 341 to 792 of the family's 1533-position model. Lineage: Bacteria; Bacillati; Bacillota; Clostridia; Lachnospirales; Lachnospiraceae. The record is from RNAcentral.
ACGGAAGGCAGCAGUGGGGAAUAUUGCACAAUGGGGGAAACCCUGAUGCAGCAACGCCGCGUGAGUGAUGAAGUAUUUCGGUAUGUAAAGCUCUAUCAGCAGGGAAGAAAUUGACGGUACCUGACUAAGAAGCCCCGGCUAACUACGUGCCAGCAGCCGCGGUAAUACGUAGGGGGCAAGCGUUAUCCGGAUUUACUGGGUGUAAAGGGAGCGUAGACGGCAAGGCAAGUCAGAAGUGAAAGCACAGGGCUCAACCCUGUAACUGCUUUUGAAACUGUUUAGCUAGAGUGUCGGAGAGGUAAGUGGAAUUCCUAGUGUAGCGGUGAAAUGCGUAGAUAUUAGGAGGAACACCAGAGGCGAAGGCGGCUUACUGGACGAUUACUGACGUUGAGGCUCGAAAGCGUGGGGAGCAAACAGGAUUAGAUACCCUGGUA